GGCGAACGCUGGCGGCGUGCCUAAUACAUGCAAGUCGAGCGGAAUGAUGAAGAAGCUUGCUUCUUCUGAUUUUUAGCGGCGGACGGGUGAGUAACACGUGGGCAACCUACCUUGUAGAUUGGGAUAACUCCGGGAAACCGGGGCUAAUACCGAAUAAUCCAUUUUGCUUCAUGGCGAGAUGUUGAAAGACGGUUUCGGCUGUCACUACAAGAUGGGCCCGCGGCGCAUUAGCUAGUUGGUAGGGUAAUGGCCUACCAAGGCGACGAUGCGUAGCCGACCUGAGAGGGUGAUCGGCCACACUGGGACUGAGACACGGCCCAGACUCCUACGGGAGGCAGCAGUAGGGAAUCUUCCACAAUGGACGAAAGUCUGAUGGAGCAACGCCGCGUGAGUGAAGAAGGUUUUCGGAUCGUAAAACUCUGUUGUAAGGGAAGAACACGUACGAGAGUAACUGCUCGUACCUUGACGGUACCUUAUUAGAAAGCCACGGCUAACUACGUG
This 501-nucleotide ribosomal RNA is filed under the name uncultured bacterium. RNAcentral describes it as "bacterial SSU rRNA". It matches the Rfam family "Bacterial small subunit ribosomal RNA", at positions 28 to 507 of the family's 1533-position model. The record is from RNAcentral.